CAUAGACUAGCUCUAAUAAAUACAAGGCCUAAGCCCAAACAUUGAAAACCCUAGCUAGAUAUAGGCAAGCAAGGUAGAGGAAAGCCAACGCACCCAAGCCGCAACUCUUACCGUCGUUUGGACAAGCAAAAAACAAAACCCCUGAACAUGUGAAACAAGCGGCAAAAAAUCAGGAGCAUUUGAAUCUAAGAUCUGUAACCUCAUGCCACCAGAACAGCAAAGGGUCUCAGAAGCAUGCACAAAAGCACAUCAACGAUCUCAAUGAGUGGUGGAAGGAUGGAAGGCUAGAGCCCUAUAGGCUAUCUUUGCCUUAAAGGGUCGCAGAUGAGCAGAUGGUAGGCUUUUUGACCCCCGGGAUACCCUUCCUCAUGGCAAAUCUGCAUCCUUCCAUCGGGCUAAUCACAAGAAAACUUCACACAAGUCAUGAUGCAAGAGCUCCGCCAAGAAGUAAGAACAACAACACAUGUAGAUAAAGAAAGAAAACCCUCUCCAUAAACCCAGACUUGCCAAAAAUAAGCCAAAUCAAAACCCAUUUACAUUCCACCCAGUGGUGGGGAGGGUGAACCCACAACUGGGUGAGGGAGGAGCUGCCCCCCUUCCUAGCAGGGGCAGGGAUCAUCAUUUU
This 625-nucleotide unclassified non-coding RNA is filed under the name Hevea brasiliensis (rubber tree). The record is from RNAcentral. Lineage: Eukaryota; Viridiplantae; Streptophyta; Magnoliopsida; Malpighiales; Euphorbiaceae.